GGGCCCGCACAAGCGGUGGAGUAUGUGGUUUAAUUCGAUGCAACGCGAAGAACCUUACCAGGGUUUGACAUCCUGCGAAUCUCUUGGAAACGAGAGAGUGCCUUCGGGAGCGCAGUGACAGGUGGUGCAUGGCUGUCGUCAGCUCGUGUCGUGAGAUGUUGGGUUAAGUCCCGCAACGAGCGCAACCCACGUCUUUAGUUGCCAGCAUUUAGUUGGGCACUCUAGAGAGACUGCCGGUGAUAAACCGGAGGAAGGUGUGGAUGACGUCAAGUCAUCAUGCCCCUUACAUCCUGGGCUACACACGUACUACAAUGCUACGGACAAAGGGCUGCAAGUUCGCGAGGACAAGCAAAUCCCAUAAACCGGUCUCAGUUCGGAUCGGGGUCUGCAACUCGGCCCCGUGAAGCUGGAAUCGCUAGUAAUCGGAUAU
This 430-nucleotide ribosomal RNA is filed under the name uncultured bacterium. RNAcentral describes it as "bacterial SSU rRNA". It matches the Rfam family "Bacterial small subunit ribosomal RNA", at positions 917 to 1349 of the family's 1533-position model. The record is from RNAcentral.